RNAcentral lists this ribosomal RNA (253 nucleotides) under uncultured bacterium. Its description in RNAcentral is "partial 16S ribosomal RNA". It matches the Rfam family "Bacterial small subunit ribosomal RNA", at positions 524 to 776 of the family's 1533-position model. The record is from RNAcentral.
UACGUAGGGGGCGAGCGUUGUCCGGAAUUACUGGGCGUAAAGCGUGCGCAGGCGGUUCGUUGUGUCGGCGGUGAAAGCCCCGGGCUCAACCUGGGAAUGGCCGUUGAAACUGGCGAACUGGAGUGUGGCAGAGGGGGGUGGAAUUCCGCGUGUAGCAGUGAAAUGUGUAGAGAUGCGGAGGAACACCGAUGGCGAAGGCAGCCCCCUGGGCUGACACUGACGCUCAGGCACGAAAGCGUGGGGAGCAAACAGG